GUAGGGGUGUGCAAAUAAUAAGGUUAACCAUACCCAAAUUACUAACCAAACCAUUUCCAUUUUUUAAAAGCCCAACCCAUUUUAUAAAAAAACCAACCCAGACCAUAAAACAUAAAAAUGGUAAACCGGUUUACCAUUUCACUUAGUUGGUUUAGAACCGGUUUAUUCUUCUCAAAAUUAAUUUCAAAAGUGAGAAACCAAAUAACACAGUGAGAAACCAAAUCACAACAUCACAGUUUCAUCAAUCAUCGCAAAUCCUCCUCCUCCGUCAAACCCACUCUCCUCCUCCGUCAAACCCACUCCCACCGGCGAAUCCUCCUCCGUCAAACCCACUCUCCNNNNNNNNNNNNNNNNNNUUAAAUCGCAAAAUCAGCUUAAUCGGUGAGUGAAUCUAAUAAUCUAAUGUUGAUUUCUGUUGAAUAACUUGUUGAAUCUGUUGAGUAGUUCUAUAAUUAAGUAGUUCUUGUGUAUUGCUAUUCUUCUGCUGCUACAAUUACUGUUGAUUAGUUCUAUAAUUAAGUAGUUCUUGUGUAUUGCUAUUCUAAUGUUGAUUUCCACAGAAAAGGUAUAUGAAUUUGAUGGUAAAUAACCAUAGAUGAUGCAUUCUUCUGCUGCUACAAUUACUGUUUCUUAUCAUUACUGUUUUCGUGCUCAAUAUACAAUCAGUUUGUGUUCUGGCAUUGUGUGCAUUUUUCGUUGAUGGAUAGCUUAUUGAAUAAUCUGUUGAAUCUGUUGAAUAGCUUAUUGAAUAAUCUGUUGAUAAUCCGUUGAAUAGCUUGUUGAAUCUGUUGAAUAAUAUAUUCAUUAGAUUAUUAGCUUAUUGAAUAAUAUAUUCAUUAUAUUCAUUAGCUUAUUAUGAUUGUCUAUUUGACAGUGUUGAAAUGAAUACUCAUGGCGCUUCCGAGAN
This 907-nucleotide long non-coding RNA is filed under the name Trifolium pratense (red clover). RNAcentral describes it as "long non-coding RNA (TPRA_LNC000861)". The record is from RNAcentral. Lineage: Eukaryota; Viridiplantae; Streptophyta; Magnoliopsida; Fabales; Fabaceae.